This 498-nucleotide ribosomal RNA is filed under the name uncultured Glomeromycotina. RNAcentral's name for it is "partial small subunit ribosomal RNA". It matches the Rfam family "Eukaryotic small subunit ribosomal RNA", at positions 591 to 1092 of the family's 1831-position model. Lineage: Eukaryota; Fungi; Glomeromycota. The record is from RNAcentral.
CCAAUAGCGUAUAUUAAAGUUGUUGCAGUUAAAAAGCUCGUAGUUGAAUUUCGGAAUCAGUACGCUGGUCGUGCCUCCGGUAUGAACUGGUGUCACUGGUUCCUCCCUUCUGAAGAACCAUCAUGCCAUUCACUUGGUGUGGUGGGAAAUCAGGACUGUUACUUUGAAAAAAUUAGAGUGUUUAAAGCAGGCUCACGCUUGAAUACAUUAGCAUGGAAUAAUGAAAUAGGACGUUGAUCUUAUUUUGUUGGUUUCUAGGAUUGACGUAAUGAUUAAUAGGGAUAGUUGGGGGCAUUAGUAUUCAAUUGUCAGAGGUGAAAUUCUUGGAUUUAUUGAAGACUAACUACUGCGAAAGCAUUUGCCAAGGAUGUUUUCAUUAAUCAAGAACGAAAGUUAGGGGAUCGAAGACGAUCAGAUACCGUCGUAGUCUUAACCAUAAACUAUGCCGACUAGGGAUCGGAUGAUGUUAUUUUUUUAUGACUCAUUCGGCGCCUUACG